This 335-nucleotide long non-coding RNA is filed under the name Elaeis guineensis (African oil palm). RNAcentral describes it as "long non-coding RNA (EGUI_LNC079679)". Lineage: Eukaryota; Viridiplantae; Streptophyta; Magnoliopsida; Arecales; Arecaceae. The record is from RNAcentral.
GAGAGGAUGUUGAAGAUUUCUCUAAGAUUUUGUGGGCUCACGACACUCGUAGCUCACUUUCUCACUUCCCGAACCCCAGGCUAAAACUCUAGGGAACUCACUGGAAACCUUGCACCCACUUUUCUUUCUUUUUUUUUUUUUUCUUGGAAGGAUACGGACUUUCUUCUCAUGCACAAGACUUCUCACGCCCCAAAAUUUUUCUCCAAAAAUCUUCUUCUUGGACGCCCCACUCUUCUCCUCCUUUUAUAACAACGUCAAACGUCUUAUCUAAAAGAAAGGAUAAAGAUGAGUAAUUGCACAUUUGAAUUCAAAUCAAAUUUUGAAUUCAAAUGGAC